RNAcentral lists this ribosomal RNA (570 nucleotides) under uncultured bacterium. Its description in RNAcentral is "bacterial SSU rRNA". It matches the Rfam family "Bacterial small subunit ribosomal RNA", at positions 338 to 916 of the family's 1533-position model. The record is from RNAcentral.
CCUACGGGAGGCAGCAGUGGGGAAUAUUGCACAAUGGGCGCAAGCCUGAUGCAGCGACGCCGCGUGAGGGAUGACGGCCUUCGGGUUGUAAACCUCUUUCAGUAGGGAAGAAGCGAAAGUGACGGUACCUGCAGAAGAAGCGCCGGCUAACUACGUGCCAGCAGCCGCGGUAAUACGUAGGGCGCAAGCGUUAUCCGGAAUUAUUGGGCGUAAAGAGCUCGUAGGCGGUUUGUCGCGUCUGCUGUGAAAGACCGGGGCUCAACUCCGGUUCUGCAGUGGGUACGGGCAGACUAGAGUGCAGUAGGGGAGACUGGAAUUCCUGGUGUAGCGGUGAAAUGCGCAGAUAUCAGGAGGAACACCGAUGGCGAAGGCAGGUCUCUGGGCUGUAACUGACGCUGAGGAGCGAAAGCAUGGGGAGCGAACAGGAUUAGAUACCCUGGUAGUCCAUGCCGUAAACGUUGGGCACUAGGUGUGGGGGUACAUUCCACGUUUUCCGCGCCGUAGCUAACGCAUUAAGUGCCCCGCCUGGGGAGUACGGCCGCAAGGCUAAAACGUCAAAUGAAUUGACGG